GCAAAUUUGCCCUUAUUUACAUAAAUUUGUACUUAUCUAGACUACCUAGUUCAAAUAAUUAUGACUUCUUGAAAGGCUAUUACAUUUUUUUUAUUUGACGCCUUACUGUACAUUAGAGUAAAGCGUCCAAAAAAUAAUAUUAUAAUAGCCUUUCAAGACGUCAUAAUAAUUUGGACUACUAGACUACCCAGAAAUUAGAAAACACUGAUAUAAAAAUUUAAUAUACAUAAAAUUGAUAAUGGAAAUGGGGAAUGUGUCAAAGAGACAACAACCCGACCAUAAAGCAGACAACAGCAGAAGGUCACCAACAUGUCUUCAAUGCAGCAAGAAAUUCCGGAGGCGUCCAUCAGCUGGCCCCUAAACAAAUAUAUAUACUAGUUCAGUGAUAAUGAACGCCAUACUAAACAUGCUAAACUCCAAAUUGUACACAAGAAACUAAAAUUAAAAAUAGUACAAGACUAACAAAGGCCAGAGGCUCCUGACUUGGGACAGGCGCAAAAUUCAAGCGGGGUUAAACAUGUUUAUGAGAUCUUAACCCUCCCCCUAUACAUGUACCUCUAGCCAAUGCAGAUGUAUGAUAUCUAUUGAUUUAAAUUGAUGUGUCAUUUCUGAAACCAUGAUUGUGGAUUCAUAUUUAUUAUUAAAUUAUUAUGUACAUGUAAUUUAUGUAUUUAUUUAGUGUAUCAUAAUCUAUUUGAACUUUUUUUUAGCUUACUCAAAAUCAAGCUGUUUGGGCCUCCUCUUGUACAUGGGAAGUGGACUCCUUGAGAAGGUGAAAGGUCUGCUUUACAUGUACGUAAUGUUAAUAUAAAAAUACAAAAAAUGUGGUGAUCAUGGUGAUAGUGAAUGAGAAAAUAGAGGAAUUUUUAAAAGUGUAAAUUCACUUUUUUCCACUUAUAAAUCUGUCAUAUUGUAAUUCUGAUAAUCUGAUAAUAAUGUUUAAAUUACAUAAUUAGGGAGCUACCAUUUGAUUUUUAGGGGGGGGGGGGCUAGGAUGAAAAAUUUUGUCCUGCAUUUUUUUUCAGUUGUAAUUUCUGUCCUGCCUUUUUAUUUUUCACUCUAUUCGGUCCUGCCUUUUUUUUAUUAGUUUAUUCCGACUUUUUUUUACCUAAAUUGUCAUCCUGCAUUUUUUUUGCAAAGUGUCUCAUCCUGCCUUUUUUUUACACUCAAAACUCCUGUCCUGCCUAUUUUUUUCAAAUUUCAUCCUAGCCCCCCCAUAAAAAUCAAAUGGUAGCUCCCUUAUUUUCAAAAUAAAAUAUUGUUUAGGUUGCUAUAAACAGUUUCGUAUAAAAACUAGGGGUUAUUCCCCAACUAAAAAUAGACAUGGAGGGAAGUCCCUUUUUAUCAACAUAAUUGGUGAAAAAGUAUCAUGUUUUUUGUAUUUGGUUGUAAAGAUAUAUUAAUUAACUUCAAUUAAAGCAGGUUGAAUGAUUAAAAUAAUUAAAAAAAUUAGAUUAAAUAUACAUGUUUUGAGGGGAGACAACAC
RNAcentral lists this long non-coding RNA (1486 nucleotides) under Mytilus galloprovincialis (Mediterranean mussel). The record is from RNAcentral. Lineage: Eukaryota; Metazoa; Mollusca; Bivalvia; Mytilida; Mytilidae.